Regulatory RNA element from Sinorhizobium saheli, 68 nucleotides. It matches the Rfam family "S-element". From Rfam's summary of the family: This family represents a group of S-elements from p42d and related plasmids. The record is from Rfam. NCBI's taxonomy places the organism in Bacteria, Pseudomonadati, Pseudomonadota, Alphaproteobacteria, Hyphomicrobiales, Rhizobiaceae.
UGUCAAGCGUUUUUGACGUCGUUUCGGCGAACGGAUUUCUUUUGCCUUGGAAAAGGUGAAGAAAAAUG